Molecule: ribosomal RNA, 497 nt
Filed under: uncultured bacterium
Lineage: Bacteria
Description: partial 16S ribosomal RNA
Rfam family: Bacterial small subunit ribosomal RNA
Source: RNAcentral
GAUGAACGCUGGCGGCGUGCCUAGUACAUGCAAGUCGAGCGAACAGACGAGGAGCUUGCUCCUCUGACGUUAGCGGCGGACGGGUGAGUAACACGUGGAUAACCUACCUAUAAGACUGGGAUAACUUCGGGAAACCGGAGCUAAUACCGGAUAAUAUAUUGAACCGCAUGGUUCAAUAGUGAAAGACGGUUUUGCUGUCACUUAUAGAUGGAUCCGCGCCGCAUUAGCUGGUUGGUAAGGUAACGGCUUACCAAGGCAACGAUGCGUAGCCGACCUGAGAGGGUGAUCGGCCACACUGGAACUGAGACACGGUCCAGACUCCUGCGGGAGGCAGCAGUAGGGAAUCUUCCGCAAUGGGCGAAAGCCUGACGGAGCAACGCCGCGUGAGUGAUGAAGGUCUUCGGAUCGUAAAACUCUGUUAUUAGGGAAGAACAAAUGUGUAAGUAACUAUGCACGUCUUGACGGUACCUAAUCAGAAAGCUACGGCUAACUACGUG